GACGAACGCUGGCGGCGUGCUUAACACAUGCAAGUCGAACGGAAAGGCCCUGCUUGCAGGGUGUUCGAGUGGCGAAAGGGGGAGUAAAACGUGGGUGAACCGUGCCCUACUUUGGGAUAAGCCUGGGAAAAAGGGUCUAAUAUAGGAUAGGAGCAUGCUGGAGGCGGGGUGGUGGUAAGAUGAGUUUGGGUAAUGGAUGAGCACGCGGCCUAUCAGCUUGUUGUUGGGGUAGUGGCCGACAAAGGCGUCUACGGGUAGACGCCCUGCGAGGGUGGACGGCCACAUUGUUGCUGAGAUUCGACCCCGACUCCUACGCGGGGCCGCAGUAGGGGAUAUUGCACCAUGGUCGGACGCCUGAUGCAGCGACACCGCGUGGUGGGUGACGGCCUUCGGGUUGUAAUCUCCUUUCUUCCAUGGCGAAGCCGUUGUAGUGACGGUAGUGGUAAAAGAAGCACCGGCUAACUACGUG
RNAcentral lists this ribosomal RNA (469 nucleotides) under uncultured bacterium. Its description in RNAcentral is "partial 16S ribosomal RNA". It matches the Rfam family "Bacterial small subunit ribosomal RNA", at positions 28 to 507 of the family's 1533-position model. The record is from RNAcentral.